GUCCCCGUAGCUCAGUUGGAUAGAGCGUCGCCCUGCGGAGGCGAAGGUCGUGCGUUCGAAUCGCGCCGGGGACGCCA
Molecule: transfer RNA, 77 nt
Filed under: Caminibacter mediatlanticus TB-2
Lineage: Bacteria; Pseudomonadati; Campylobacterota; Epsilonproteobacteria; Nautiliales; Nautiliaceae
Description: tRNA-Arg
Rfam family: tRNA
About the family: Transfer RNA (tRNA) molecules are approximately 80 nucleotides in length. Their secondary structure includes four short double-helical elements and three loops (D, anti-codon, and T loops). Further hydrogen bonds mediate the characteristic L-shaped molecular structure. tRNAs have two regions of fundamental functional importance: the anti-codon, which is responsible for specific mRNA codon recognition, and the 3' end, to which the tRNAs corresponding amino acid is attached (by aminoacyl-tRNA synthetases). tRNAs cope with the degeneracy of the genetic code in two manners: having more than one tRNA (with a specific anti-codon) for a particular amino acid; and 'wobble' base-pairing, i.e. permitting non-standard base-pairing at the 3rd anti-codon position.
Source: RNAcentral